This 467-nucleotide ribosomal RNA is filed under the name uncultured bacterium. RNAcentral describes it as "partial 16S ribosomal RNA". It matches the Rfam family "Bacterial small subunit ribosomal RNA", at positions 28 to 507 of the family's 1533-position model. The record is from RNAcentral.
GACGAACGCUGGCGGCGUGCUUAACACAUGCAAGUCGAACGGAAAGGCCUCUUUCGGGGGGUACUCGAGUGGCGAACGGGUGAGUAACACGUGAGUAACCUGCCCUUGACUUUGGGAUAACUUCAGGAAACUGGGGCUAAUACCGGAUAGGAGCUCCUGCUGCAUGGUGGGGGUUGGAAAGUUUCGGCGGUUGGGGAUGGACUCGCGGCUUAUCAGCUUGUUGGUGGGGUAGUGGCUUACCAAGGCUUUGACGGGUAGCCGGCCUGAGAGGGUGACCGGCCACAUUGGGACUGAGAUACGGCCCAGACUCCUACGAGAGGCAGCAGUGGGGAAUAUUGCACAAUGGGUGGAAGCCUGACGCAGCAACGCCGUGUGCGGGAUGACGGCCUUCGGGUUGGAAACCGCUUUCGCUCAUGACGAAGCUUUGUGUGACGGUAGUGGGUAAAGAAGCACCGGCUAACUACGUG